UAUAUUAUACACAAAAAAUGAAUACUUUUAAACAUUCUAUAAUAAGUAAUCAAGUCAAAUAUUAUUUAUAAUAAAGCUUGGCUCUGACUUAUUUAUAUGAUUAAGAACUAAAAAAUACACAUGGUUUUUUUGGAAAGAAGCGAGGUAGAAGACUUGAUAUUUUUAGAUAUAUAAGAUUAAAAUUUAUUUUUCUUCUAAGAUAUUAUAGAUUUAUAUAAUGUCUUGAAAAGUCCCGCUAACACCAGUGCUGAAGGUUAAAAAAGAAGCGAAAGCUUGAGUUAAUUUAGUUCACAAAGCUUGGUCAACUUGGUGCCAGCAUCCGCGGUUAAACCAAGAAAGUUAAGUCAUAUUUCUAACGGUAAAAAGACAGUUAAAUAAUUCUAGGAAGUUUAUUUAAUGUUUAUAGAAAGGUAGAAUUUGAAUAUAAACACAUAAUUUUAUUAUAACUUAUGUAUUGAAGCUGUGAUAGCCUUGAGGGAAACUGGGAUUAGAUACCCCAUUAUUCUUGGUCACAAAUUAAAUAUAUUUACCAGAGUACUAUGAACCAUAAAAGUUUAAAACUCAAAGAGCUUGGCGGUGUUUUAGACCUUUCAGGGGAACCUGUCUCAUAAUCGACAAUCCACGCUAUACCUAGCCUUUUUUUGCUUUCAGUUUGUAUACCGUCGUCGUCAGGUAACUUUUAAAAAUUUAAAAGUUAGCAUAAAAAACUAUGUAAGUUUAAACGUCAGAUCAAGGUGCAACCUAUAUAAAGGUGAGGAUGGGUUACAAUUAUUAAAUUAUAAUCACGAACUAAUUAUUUGAACAAAUAAUAAUAAAGGAGGACUUGAAAGUAAAUUAAAUUAUAUAAACAUCUUGAAUAAGGCUCUGAAACGUGCACACAUCGCCCGUCGCUCUCGUUGAAAAAUGAGAUAAGUCGUAACAUAGCAGGGGUAAUGGAAAUUGUCCCUAGACU
RNAcentral lists this ribosomal RNA (952 nucleotides) under Boreotrophon candelabrum. RNAcentral describes it as "12S ribosomal RNA". Lineage: Eukaryota; Metazoa; Mollusca; Gastropoda; Neogastropoda; Muricidae. The record is from RNAcentral.